GACGAACGCUGGCGGCGUGCCUAAUACAUGCAAGUAGAACGCUGAAGGAGGAGCUUGCUUCUCUGGAUGAGUUGCGAACGGGUGAGUAACGCGUAGGUAACCUGCCUGGUAGCGGGGGAUAACUAUUGGAAACGAUAGCUAAUACCGCAUAAGAGUAGAUGUUGCAUGACAUUUGCUUAAAAGGUGCAAUUGCAUCACUACCAGAUGGACCUGCGUUGUAUUAGCUAGUUGGUGGGGUAACGGCUUACCAAGGCGACGAUACAUAGCCGACCUGAGAGGGUGAUCGGCCACACUGGGACUGAGACACGGCCCAGACUCCUACGGGAGGCAGCAGUAGGGAAUCUUCGGCAAUGGACGGAAGUCUGACCGAGCAACGCCGCGUGAGUGAAGAAGGUUUUCGGAUCGUAAAGCUCUGUUGUAAGAGAAGAACGAGUGUGAGAGUGGAAAGUUCACACUGUGACGGUAUCUUACCAGAAAGGAACGGCUAACUACGUGC
Molecule: ribosomal RNA, 496 nt
Filed under: uncultured bacterium
Lineage: Bacteria
Description: partial 16S ribosomal RNA
Rfam family: Bacterial small subunit ribosomal RNA
Source: RNAcentral